UGAACAGGAUGCAGAAUAGUAAAAAGAUGGUUUAUCUCCUACCCUUUUCCUCCCAUCUUGUAACGAUACAAGUAGAACAG
Non-coding RNA from Pseudonaja textilis, 80 nucleotides. The record is from RefSeq and is a predicted model, not a curated record. NCBI's taxonomy places the organism in Eukaryota, Metazoa, Chordata, Lepidosauria, Squamata, Elapidae.